ACGCUGGCUGCGUGCUUACACAUGCAAGUCGAACGCUGAAGCCGACAGCUUGCUGUUGGUGGAUGACUGGCGAACGGGUGAGUAACACGUGAGUAACCUGCCCCUGAUUUCGGGAUAAGCCUGGGAAACUGGGUCUAAUACCGGAUACGACCUCCUGACGCAUGUUGGCUGGUGGAAAUGUGCAAUUCGACUACGUGAAGUCGGAGUCGCUAGUAAUCGCAGAUCAGCAACGCUGCGGUGAAUCAUUCCCGGGCCUUGUACACACCGCCCGUCAAGUCACGAUUCAGUAACACCCGAAGCCGGUGUCCCAAACCCUUGUGGAGGGUGCCGUAUGAUGGCAGAUG
Molecule: ribosomal RNA, 344 nt
Filed under: Brevibacterium sp. PAH-40
Lineage: Bacteria; Bacillati; Actinomycetota; Actinomycetes; Micrococcales; Brevibacteriaceae
Description: bacterial SSU rRNA
Rfam family: Bacterial small subunit ribosomal RNA
Source: RNAcentral